GCCCCCAGUGCUUUCCCCGCCCGGCAAAGCAGCCCCCCCCGAGGCCAGGGGGAAGCCGGCAGGAGGACCCCCCGCUGCCGGGGAGGCCGCCCCAGAGAGCCAAGGCAAGGCGGAGAAGUAGCAGCCUCUGAGCAGGGGACGCCAACCUGGGCGCGCUGCAAGAGGCCCCAGCCCAGUGGGGGGAGCAGGCACCAGGGACAUGCCCCCCCAAACUUUAGUGGCAUUUUAGUCUUUUCCUGUAGCUCCGAGGGGGCUGGGCAGGAGGCAGGACCCUGGCGCAGGGACUGGGGCUCAUCUCAGCCACCCUGGCCCCAUAGAAAUGCCCCCUCUAGUAUAGCACAAAGGCCCAGCCGCUCCAGCCAGGGACCGUGGGACUUUGUCUGCAUCCUCCAUUAAAGCAGUUUGACAAACUA
Pelodiscus sinensis (Chinese soft-shelled turtle) is the source of this 413-nucleotide non-coding RNA. NCBI's taxonomy places the organism in Eukaryota, Metazoa, Chordata, Testudines, Trionychidae. The record is from RefSeq and is a predicted model, not a curated record.